CCUACGGGCGGCAGCAGUGAGGAAUAUUGGUCAAUGGACGAGAGUCUGAACCAGCCAAGUAGCGUGAAGGAUGACUGCCCUAUGGGUUGUAAACUUCUUUUAUAUGGGAAUAAAAUGUUCCACGUGUGGGCUUUUGUAUGUACCAUAUGAAUAAGGAUCGGCUAACUCCGUGCCAGCAGCCGCGGUAAUACGGAGGAUCCGAGCGUUAUCCGGAUUUAUUGGGUUUAAAGGGAGCGUAGGUGGAUUGUUAAGUCAGUUGUGAAAGUUUGCGGCUCAACCGUAAAAUUGCAGUUGAAACUGGCAGUCUUGAGUACAGUAGAGGUGGGCGGAAUUCGUGGUGUAGCGGUGAAAUGCUUAGAUAGCGCGAAGAACUCCGAUUGCGAAGGCAGCUCACUGGACUGCAACUGACACUGAGGCUCGAAAGUGUGGGUAUCAAACAGGAUUAGAUACCCGAGUAGUC
RNAcentral lists this ribosomal RNA (460 nucleotides) under uncultured bacterium. RNAcentral's name for it is "partial 16S ribosomal RNA". It matches the Rfam family "Bacterial small subunit ribosomal RNA", at positions 338 to 795 of the family's 1533-position model. The record is from RNAcentral.